RNAcentral lists this long non-coding RNA (911 nucleotides) under Salvia miltiorrhiza (redroot sage). Its description in RNAcentral is "long non-coding RNA (SMIL_LNC005679)". Lineage: Eukaryota; Viridiplantae; Streptophyta; Magnoliopsida; Lamiales; Lamiaceae. The record is from RNAcentral.
UUUUAUUUUUAUUUUUUCUUGCCUUAAAGAUGGAUUUUUUGAAUUAAUUGCUCUGUUGAUUUUUUUAUUUGUCUUGUGUGAAUAAAUCCAUUUUUGUUUGGAUCUGUGGAUGGAUGCAUUGUUAUUUGAAAUGUUUGUAGAUGGAUUUGGAGGUGGAGGGAGACGACGAGGUGAAGGGUAGGCGGCAGCGCCGCUGGCCUCGCCGGUGAUGAGAGCGUCGGCGGCAGCAACAUAAUUUUAGUUGAAAAGAUUUUAUUUUAUUAACAAUAUUUAAAACUAAUUAACCAUAAAAUUAAAGAUGUGGGCCAUACAACUUAUCUCUUAAUAUAACUCUCCUUAAUACUCAUGCUGAAAAAAAACAUGCCAUUAAUACCGGGACGAAGAGAGUACUAUUUUACCCUUCCGUGCUUUUUGUCUUGGAAAGUCUUGGAAGGCAUCUAGCAAGUGUCGGGCUCCUAGUAAGCCAUGUGACCACAUUGUGUGGUCCAAAUUUGGACCUAUAUACUAUAAUUGGAGUGAUAACUACAGGAUCUAGCAAGUGUCGGGCUCCUAGUAAGCCAUGUGACCACAUUGUGUGGUCCAAAUUUGGACCUAUAUACUAUAAUUGGAGUGAUAACUACAGGAUCCACCUACUAUAUAUAUAUAUAUAGGGUGUGGUUCUAGAGAGAACUACAUUAUUUGUGAGAACGGGAGAACCAUCAAAUCUAAUGCAUCCACUGUAAAAAUUAAUGCAUUCGCUGUUAAAAUUAAUGCACUAAAAAAAUAAAAAAAAAAUGCUCCCUUCAGGAUUCGAACCCAGGAUCUGCAUUCAUCCAACAAGAUGAUGCAUCCACCGUAGAUCUUGAUGAUCGAAUGGCUCAAAAUGGUUCUCCGGUCUUCUUUUAUUUAUGGUUCUUUCUUGAACCUCUCCC